AGCAGCCGCGGUAAUUCCAGCUCCAAUAGCGUAUAUUAAAGUUGUUGCAGUUAAAAGCUCGUAGUUGAAUUUCGGGACUAAUAUGUCGGUCGUGCCUCGGUACGUACUGGUUUAUUGGUUUCUCCUUUCUGAAGAACCAUGAUGUCAUUUAUUUGGUGUCGUGGGGAAUCAGGACUGUUACUUUGAAAAAUUAGAGUGUUUAAAGCAGGCUCACGCUUGAAUACAUUAGCAUGGAAUAAUGAAAUAGGACGUUUGAUUCUAUUUUGUUGGUUUCUAGGAUCGACGUAAUGAUUAAUAGGGAUAGUUGGGGGCAUUAGUAUUCAAUUGUCAGAGGUGAAAUUCUUGGAUUUAUUGAAGACUAACUACUGCGAAAGCAUUUGCCAAGGAUGUUUUCAUUAAUCAAGAACGAAAGUUAGGGGAUCGAAGACGAUCAGAUACCGUCGUAGUCUUAACCAUAAACUAUGCCGACUAGGGAUCGGAUGAUGUUAAUUUUUAAUGACUCAUUCGGCGCCUUACGGGA
Molecule: unclassified non-coding RNA, 520 nt
Filed under: uncultured Glomus
Lineage: Eukaryota; Fungi; Glomeromycota; Glomeromycetes; Glomerales; Glomeraceae
Description: SSU rRNA
Rfam family: Eukaryotic small subunit ribosomal RNA
Source: RNAcentral